Long non-coding RNA from Hydra vulgaris (swiftwater hydra), 621 nucleotides. RefSeq lists it as uncharacterized. NCBI's taxonomy places the organism in Eukaryota, Metazoa, Cnidaria, Hydrozoa, Anthoathecata, Hydridae. The record is from RefSeq and is a predicted model, not a curated record.
AUGAUUUGAUUUAUAGAUUAGUAAAGCUAUACAAGAUUAAAUUUAGCAGAAGGCUAAACUACUGCUCUGGAGACAAAAAAGGAAGACAGCGAAAAUGACCAGUCAAAAUAAAGAUUAAAGAGACAAAAAAUUGUGUAUAUUUUGGUGUAGAUGAUUUAUCCUCUACACCUCAUUUUCCUAUUAUAAAACAAAAAAUGUUAUUAAACUUAAGGAUUUACCUGUAACUCCAAACUCUUUACAGAAGUUCCAUGUUUGCUCUGAGAAGUUGAAUGAACAAAUUUAUUAAAUGAUAAAGUUGUAUCCUUGAAAGAUAUGCUGGUAUUAUUGGCACAACGGGCAAGCAUUGAAUUGCAACUUGGUGAACUACAAAACACAUCAAAUUCAGUUAUAAAAAUUUGAGUAACAAAGGUCAAUUAUUUGGCACAAAUUGGAGUUAAAGACAAAGGAGAUUGUAUAUGUUAUUUACUAAGAAUUGUUUUUUAAAAUGGCCUAGCUGUAAAGUUAAACUAUACAGGGAGAGGACAAAAAUUGGAAUAGGAAAAAUGUUGAUUGCAUAUGUUGCUAUUGAAACUGUUAAGUCAAAUAAGCAUGGCUUAUGCAGACAUGUGAUAGAGAUAGUGG